CCAACGUGGCAGCAAGUCACUUUGGUGACAAUGACUCUUAAGUCAUGAAACAAGGUGGCAUAAUUAGGAGAAUUGGCCAAAACAAAAACUCAUUCUUAUCAAGUGGGGNNNNNNNNNNNCNNNNNAAGUAGGGCCCACACCUCUAUUUCUAAAGAAUAGAAGCAACCUUUCUCGCUGAAUCAUAUGUGUGAACAUUUGGAUACUCUGCUGACCCAUUAAAAGAAGAAUGUUGACUUGCCUCAGUUCUCUUGUUCUAUGACUGAUGACCGACUUAAUGUGAAGCCUAUACACUUCACAUUUAGAUGUAGGUAAGUUCUGGCAAUGCAAAACGUGGUGCUCAGUUAGGUUGCACCAAUAUCUGUUUCAAGUCUUGUAUACCUAUAAUGGUUUCUUUAGUUGGGAUAUGUUCAUGGUGUGGAAAGAGAUUAUAUGCAUGUGGAUAUAAAUGUUAAUUGUUCUUAUGUUAUAAUCAAACAGGUUAAUUUUUUAGCUGUUCUGAAGUAGCAAUUUGAGGUGUUAGACAUGUAAUCUUUUCCUACCAUGUUCGAUGUGUCUGCAUAGCUUUGUUCAAUGAUAGUGGGAAAGUUGUUUGGGUCGCCUUCCUUUGUCGUUGUUCUUGCCGUCACGUGUUUUAUCGCAAUUAUCGUGUGUUAGCGGGAUUGUCCAGAGAACCGGCUCAGGUAUGUUAAGGCUAUCCCUUCUUUCUUUUGACAUGAUCCAAGUAACGAUACGUAAACGUAAUGCUAUUGCAUAAAUGGUUCUACUCUUAGCAGUUAAGGAUGUAUAUGUUAUUCAUUCCCGUAAAAUGAUAUUCAAGCAUGUCUAAGUAUGUAUCUAGUUCCUUAUUGAUGUAUUUGAUAAAGAUGUUAAUGUUUAUAAUAUAGUAAUACAUGCAUCUUCAUGCAUAUUCAUUUACCAUCGUACUACGGCCGGUCGGGCAGUCAUGCAUUUACCACCGGACUACGGCCGAUCGGGCAGUUACCACCGGUUGGGCAGUUAUAUAUUAUUAUUUAUCACCGGUUGGGCAGUCAUGUAUAUUCAUUUACCACCGAGAUACGGCCGGUCGGGAAGUCAUGCAUUUACCACCGAGCUACGACCGGUUGGGUAGUUACAUAUUUACCACCGAGAUAUGGCCGGCCGGGCAGUCAUAUAUUUACCACUGAGCUACGGCCGGUCGGGCAGUCAUACAUUUAACAAUGUGCUACGGCCGGUCGGGCAGUUACCACUGAUCAGUUGGGCAGUCACGCAUCGUACGAUAUGGAUAAUAGUCUCAAAGAGAAGCAUUGUAUAUAUGUAAGUAUAAUAAGUAUGCAUAUACGGUGACACUUCAGAGAUUCAGGUUAAUUCUUAUAUGUCUUUAAUUAAUGUUGACUUACUGUUAUGUUUUAGUUCUGCCUUACAUACUCAGUACAUUAUUCGUACUGACGUCCUUUUGUUGGGAACGCUGCAUUCAUGCCUGCAGGUAUAGAUAAUCAGUUUGACAAGCCCUCAAAGUAGACGAGAUUGGCAUUCAGCGAAGGAUCGGUAAGAUUCCACCUCAUUCGGAGUGCAGCCGAGUCUAUGAGUCAUCGUGUCAAAAUUUUACCACAGACUUAUGGGUAGGCCGGUACCCUGUUCCAUUUGAUGUCAAAUAAUCUUAGAGGCUUUGUAGACAAAGGUUCAUUUUGUACAGUAUGUCAGAGGCCUUGACGGCCCAUAUGUAUUCAUGUUUUAAGAAAAAUGAGUUAGUGAUACAGUUUUUUCUCACUUACGCUUGUACAUUAUGAGUUGUGGCCAUAUUGGCCCAUGAUAGUUAGAAAAGGAAUGAGUUCAGCCAACUCGACCUAUGUAUAUUCUAAUUUUGGGCCGAAUAAUCAUGAGUUACAGAGUGGUUCGCUCGGGCCAGCAUGGCACCGGGUGCCAGCCACGCCUCCCCAGGUUUGGGCGUGACAAAGUGGUAUCAGAGCGGGUCGUGUCCUAUGGAGUCUACAAAGCUGUGCCUAGUAGAGUCUCACUUAUGGAUGUGUUAUGCGCCACAUUUAUAAAUGAGAGGCUAUAGGGCAUUUAGGAAAUGUUACCCUUCUUUUGUUUACAGAUCGUUCAAUAGAGCUGAGUCGUAAGAAGUCAGUAUGAAGCUUACGCCAGAUUUUGUAUAUGCCAGAGGUGCAGGUAUCACAGUAGAGCUUUAAAGCGUAAUGUGGAAGGGAGGUUAUGAAAGAAACAGAAGAUAUGAUGCGAGAUUGUAAAGUAAGUAAGGUAAAUGUGAAGAAGAUACGAGAUACUCAAGUACAAAAGGUUGUGAAUAGUCGAGACUUUAGAUAUAGUUUGGGUUUUAGUUUAAUUUACAAAGGAGAUCCUAGUUAAAAUUUUGUAAAUCUCUAAGAGUUAACAAUCGAGGACGAAUGUUCUAAAGGGGGAAGGAUGUUACACCCGUAAGUUUAACAACCUUG
This 2429-nucleotide long non-coding RNA is filed under the name Nicotiana tabacum (common tobacco). RNAcentral's name for it is "long non-coding RNA (NTAB_LNC009355)". The record is from RNAcentral. Lineage: Eukaryota; Viridiplantae; Streptophyta; Magnoliopsida; Solanales; Solanaceae.